Molecule: ribosomal RNA, 388 nt
Filed under: uncultured bacterium
Lineage: Bacteria
Description: bacterial SSU rRNA
Rfam family: Bacterial small subunit ribosomal RNA
Source: RNAcentral
AAUCAACGCUGGCGGCGCGCCUAAUACAUGCAAGUCGAGCGAGAAGACGUAGCAAUACGUUUGUAAAGCGGCGAACGGGUGAGGAAUACAUGGGUAACCUACCCUCGAGUGGGGAAUAACUAGCCGAAAGGUUAGCUAAUACCGCGUACGCUUCUUGGACUUCGGUUCAGGGAGGAAAGCGAUGCCGAGGGUAUCGCGCUCUUGGAUGGGCUCAUGUCCUAUCAGCUGUUGGUGAGGUAACGGCUCACCAAGGCUUCGACGGGUAGCUGGUCUGAGAGGACGAUCAGCCACACUGGCACUGCGACACGGGCCAGACUCCUACGGGAGGCAGCAGUAAGGAAUAUUGCGCAAUGGGCGAAAGCCUGACGCAGCGACGCCGCGUGGGGGA